RNAcentral lists this long non-coding RNA (709 nucleotides) under Equus caballus (horse). RNAcentral describes it as "lncRNA (ENSECAG00000030025.3)". The record is from RNAcentral. Lineage: Eukaryota; Metazoa; Chordata; Mammalia; Perissodactyla; Equidae.
UGAGCAUCUGAAGAGAUGGGAGGUUCUUGCAAGUAGAAGAGGAUACUUUGCAAGGACAAUGGUUGGGGCUCAAAUGCUGCUGAUUCAGCUGGUCAGUGGACAAAAGAGCCCAAUUAAACCACCAAGCUGCAGCAAACGCGCUCAGGAAGGGCCUCAGCACAGGCCUGGAGCACUGAAGAACGUCUCCUCAAUGCGGGCUUUGGGAACAGCCUUCAGGCAGACAGUGAGGCCCCGCACAGCCUCUGCUCCUGGAAAAGCCCUGAAGGCCUGUGCGAUGUGCCCUUGGGAUGAUACUGGGGUCUCCCAAGGCUCCACCCUAGCCCCCGUCUCCUCCUGUUGCGAUCCUAGAGCACAUUGCUUGCAUGUUGCUGAACAGAUGCCCAUCCUGAUCUGGGAUUCAGUAGUGGUCUCCACCACCACCCUUCCCACCAAGCUACUCUGCCACUUCCCUCAAGGGGAGAGACGGGUAGGGGAACUUCGUCUACAGACUGCCUGUCACUUGCCGGGCACCGUGCUGGUUGCUAUAUGAGAAUACCAUUUAAUCCCCGUGUCCACUGCAAGGCAGUCAUUGUCAUACCCAUUUUACAGAUGAGAUUUGCCAAAUAAAGGCAGAGAGCCAGAAUUACAGUUUAAACUCAAGUCUGACUCUUGCAACAACCAUGUUAGUAAUUGUCUAUUAAUCUUUGUUUGGCCUUGUCACCUGGCACAG